RNAcentral lists this ribosomal RNA (723 nucleotides) under Lactobacillus casei group sp. Its description in RNAcentral is "bacterial SSU rRNA". It matches the Rfam family "Bacterial small subunit ribosomal RNA", at positions 59 to 746 of the family's 1533-position model. Lineage: Bacteria; Bacillati; Bacillota; Bacilli; Lactobacillales; Lactobacillaceae. The record is from RNAcentral.
AAGUCGAACGAGUUCUCGUUGAUGAUCGGUGCUUGCACCGAGAUUCAACAUGGAACGAGUGGCGGACGGGUGAGUAACACGUGGGUAACCUGCCCUUAAGUGGGGGAUAACAUUUGGAAACAGAUGCUAAUACCGCAUAGAUCCAAGAACCGCAUGGUUCUUGGCUGAAAGAUGGCGUAAGCUAUCGCUUUUGGAUGGACCCGCGGCGUAUUAGCUAGUUGGUGAGGUAAUGGCUCACCAAGGCGAUGAUACGUAGCCGAACUGAGAGGUUGAUCGGCCACAUUGGGACUGAGACACGGCCCAAACUCCUACGGGAGGCAGCAGUAGGGAAUCUUCCACAAUGGACGCAAGUCUGAUGGAGCAACGCCGCGUGAGUGAAGAAGGCUUUCGGGUCGUAAAACUCUGUUGUUGGAGAAGAAUGGUCGGCAGAGUAACUGUUGUCGGCGUGACGGUAUCCAACCAGAAAGCCACGGCUAACUACGUGCCAGCAGCCGCGGUAAUACGUAGGUGGCAAGCGUUAUCCGGAUUUAUUGGGCGUAAAGCGAGCGCAGGCGGUUUUUUAAGUCUGAUGUGAAAGCCCUCGGCUUAACCGAGGAAGCGCAUCGGAAACUGGGAAACUUGAGUGCAGAAGAGGACAGUGGAACUCCAUGUGUAGCGGUGAAAUGCGUAGAUAUAUGGAAGAACACCAGUGGCGAAGGCGGCUGUCUGGUCUGUAACUGACGC